RNAcentral lists this transfer RNA (73 nucleotides) under Camelus bactrianus (Bactrian camel). It matches the Rfam family "tRNA". From Rfam's summary of the family: Transfer RNA (tRNA) molecules are approximately 80 nucleotides in length. Their secondary structure includes four short double-helical elements and three loops (D, anti-codon, and T loops). Lineage: Eukaryota; Metazoa; Chordata; Mammalia; Artiodactyla; Camelidae. The record is from Rfam by way of RNAcentral. RNAcentral also lists the same sequence under 2 other names.
GAGGGUAUAGCUCAGUGGUAGAGGUGCCUGCCUAGCAUGCACGAGGUCCUGGGUUCAUUCCCUGGUACCUCCA